AUCCUUUUGCAGAGGCAAUUUCAUAGUCUAUGAAGUUCUACUGAGACGUGAUUAUUGCUGGUUGAAAACUUAACCCAUUAAUACUACUUGAAGUAGCCUCCUGACUACCAGUAGUUCAAAUUUGUCCUCUGUGGAGG
RNAcentral lists this small nuclear RNA (137 nucleotides) under Sparus aurata (gilthead seabream). RNAcentral's name for it is "U4 spliceosomal RNA (ENSSAUG00010019964.1)". It matches the Rfam family "U4 spliceosomal RNA". Rfam says of the family: U4 small nuclear RNA (U4 snRNA) is a component of the major U2-dependent spliceosome. The structure of U4 snRNA from yeast and human has been reported. Lineage: Eukaryota; Metazoa; Chordata; Actinopteri; Spariformes; Sparidae. The record is from Rfam by way of RNAcentral.